RNAcentral lists this ribosomal RNA (1052 nucleotides) under Beauveria vermiconia. Its description in RNAcentral is "SSU rRNA". It matches the Rfam family "Eukaryotic small subunit ribosomal RNA", at positions 44 to 1108 of the family's 1831-position model. Lineage: Eukaryota; Fungi; Ascomycota; Sordariomycetes; Hypocreales; Cordycipitaceae. The record is from RNAcentral.
UUAAGCCAUGCAUGUCUAAGUAUAAGCAAUUAUACAGCGAAACUGCGAAUGGCUCAUUAUAUAAGUUAUCGUUUAUUUGAUAGUACCUUACUACUUGGAUAACCGUGGUAAUUCUAGAGCUAAUACAUGCUGAAAACCCCAACUUCGGAAGGGAUGUAUUUAUUAGAUUAAAAACCAAUGCCCUCUGGGCUCCUUGGUGAUUCAUAAUAACUUUUCGAAUCGCACGGCCUUGCGCCGGCGAUGGUUCAUUCAAAUUUCUUCCCUAUCAACUUUCGAUGUUUGGGUAUUGGCCAAACAUGGUUGCAACGGGUAACGGAGGGUUAGGGCUCGACCCCGGAGAAGGAGCCUGAGAAACGGCUACUACAUCCAAGGAAGGCAGCAGGCGCGCAAAUUACCCAAUCCCGAUUCGGGGAGGUAGUGACAAUAAAUACUGAUACAGGGCUCUUUUGGGUCUUGUAAUUGGAAUGAGUACAAUUUAAAUCUCUUAACGAGGAACAAUUGGAGGGCAAGUCUGGUGCCAGCAGCCGCGGUAAUUCCAGCUCCAAUAGCGUAUAUUAAAGUUGUUGUGGUUAAAAAGCUCGUAGUUGAACCUUGGGCCUGGCUGGCCGGUCCGCCUCACCGCGUGUACUGGUCCGGCCGGGCCUUUCCCUCUGUGGAACCACAUGCCCUUCACUGGGUGUGGCGGGGAAACAGGACUUUUACUUUGAAAAAAUUAGAGUGCUCCAGGCAGGCCUAUGCUCGAAUACAUUAGCAUGGAAUAAUAAAAUAGGACGCGUGGUUCUAUUUUGUUGGUUUCUAGGACCGCCGUAAUGAUUAAUAGGGACAGUCGGGGGCAUCAGUAUUCAAUUGUCAGAGGUGAAAUUCUUGGAUUUAUUGAAGACUAACUACUGCGAAAGCAUUUGCCAAGGAUGUUUUCAUUAAUCAGGAACGAAAGUUAGGGGAUCGAAGACGAUCAGAUACCGUCGUAGUCUUAACCAUAAACUAUGCCGACUAGGGAUCGGACGAUGUUAUUUUUUGACGCGUUCGGCACCUUACGAGAAAUCAAAGUGCUU